GAAAUUCCCUCUGCCCCUACCGUACUCCAGCUUGGUAGUUUCCACCUCCUGUCCAGGGUUGAGCCCUGGGAUUUGACGGCGGACUUAAAAAGCCACCUACAGACGCUUUACGCCCAAUCAUUCCGGAUAACGCUUGCAUCCUCUGUUGAGGUAGAAAACACAAAAAAAAGCAAAAUAAACACAUACGAAGCUCGAGUGCAUCCUCACUUAGUAAAAGAAAAUUAAAAGGAAAAGAAAAAAAGCCUAAGCUAACCAACACUAUGUCUUCUCCACCAUGCUCGUCAAGGCCUCCAAAUCUUCAGGAAUGAAAAAAAAUCGAUCUACUUUCAUUUGGUAUUUUUGCCUAAAUUCCUUGGAAAUUCCCUCUGCCCCUACCGUACUCCAGCUUGGUAGUUUCCACCUCCUGUCCAGGGUUGAGCCCUGGGAUUUGACGGCGGACUUAAAAAGCCACCUACAGACGCUUUACGCCCAAU
RNAcentral lists this long non-coding RNA (473 nucleotides) under Nicotiana benthamiana. Its description in RNAcentral is "long non-coding RNA (NBEN_LNC041724)". Lineage: Eukaryota; Viridiplantae; Streptophyta; Magnoliopsida; Solanales; Solanaceae. The record is from RNAcentral.